RNAcentral lists this transfer RNA (72 nucleotides) under Camelus bactrianus (Bactrian camel). It matches the Rfam family "tRNA". Rfam says of the family: Transfer RNA (tRNA) molecules are approximately 80 nucleotides in length. The record is from Rfam by way of RNAcentral. RNAcentral also lists the same sequence under 2 other names. Lineage: Eukaryota; Metazoa; Chordata; Mammalia; Artiodactyla; Camelidae.
GUGGGUAGAGCUCAGUGGUAGAGCAUGUGCUUAGCAUGCAUGAGGUCCUGGGUUCAAUCUCCAGCACCUACA